Molecule: ribosomal RNA, 148 nt
Filed under: uncultured soil bacterium
Lineage: Bacteria
Description: partial 16S ribosomal RNA
Rfam family: Bacterial small subunit ribosomal RNA
Source: RNAcentral
AGAACGAACGCUGGCGGCAUGCCUAAUACAUGCAAGUCGAACGAACACUUCGGUGUUAGUGGCGCACGGGUGCGUAACGCGUGGGAAUCUGCCCUUGGGUUCGGAAUAACAGUUGGAAACGACUGCUAAUACCGGAUGAUGACGAAAG